RNAcentral lists this long non-coding RNA (482 nucleotides) under Physcomitrium patens. RNAcentral describes it as "long non-coding RNA (PPAT_LNC000610)". The record is from RNAcentral. Lineage: Eukaryota; Viridiplantae; Streptophyta; Bryopsida; Funariales; Funariaceae.
AGAUUUCUAUUAUUUUAUCAUGCAUAGUUUAUUUAGAUGUCUUGAGCUCUUUUAUAAAGUUUUUAGAUCUCUAGAUUAAAGAAAUAUUUCAGAGUUUGGCUUAGAUUUGUUUUACUAAUUUUUACUUUUCUUUCAGUUCUAACAAUAUAGUCAUUUAUUUAUAAUUUUUUCGUAGUUUUAUAGAAUCUAAUAAAUUUUCUAAUUACUAUGAAAAAAUUACCAUCCUUUGGGUCACAAGAACAUACUUUAUAAAUCUUCAUUUAAACCUCUAAGUCUUCUAAAAAUCUUAAAUUAAUUUUAUUAACAAGUUAUUUAAAAUAAAUUUAUUUUAAGUGUAUAAAUAUGUUUUCAAGAAGGUAAAUUAAAAAGGCUUAAUCACCUUUAAUGUCAAAGAAAUUUAUAUUAGAAAAAUAUAAUAGGUCCUUAUUAACAUAGAAUUUAUCUAACCUUAUAUAAAUCUCAAUUCUAUCUACUUCUUUUUU